GUGGGGAAUAUUGCGCAAUGGGGGAAACCCUGACGCAGCGACGCCGUGUGAGGGAAGAAGGCUUUCGGGUCGUAAACCUCUGUCAGAAAGGAAGAACCUCCCAAGUCCGAAUAGGGCUUGGGACUGACGGUACUUUCAAAGGAAGCACCGGCUAACUCCGUGCCAGCAGCCGCGGUAAUACGGAGGGUGCAAGCGUUAAUCGGAAUCACUGGGCGUAAAGUGCGCGUAGGCCGAUUUGUAAGUCGGACGUGAAAGCCCUCGGCUCAACCGGGGAACUGCGUUCGAUACUGCGAGGCUUGAGUCCUGGAGAGGGUGGCGGAAUUCCGGGUGUAGGAGUGAAAUCCGUAGAUAUCCGGAGGAACACCGGUGGCGAAGGCGGCCACCUGGACAGGUACUGACGCUGAGGCGCGAAAGCGUGGGGAGCAAACAGGAUUAGAAACCCCGGUAGUCC
This 451-nucleotide ribosomal RNA is filed under the name uncultured bacterium. Its description in RNAcentral is "partial 16S ribosomal RNA". It matches the Rfam family "Bacterial small subunit ribosomal RNA", at positions 354 to 796 of the family's 1533-position model. The record is from RNAcentral.